CAUCAUCAGGCAAACAAAACAUUUUUUAAUAAAAAUGACAAAAGAACCUUGAAUAUAUCAUGUUAAGAAUAUUGCUAUAGUUACAGUAAACAAAAAAUAAACAAAAUAAAUAUUAAAAUAAACUAAAAUUAAAAUAAAAUAAAGUUCAAAAAUGGUAAUAAAAGUGUAUUAUCCAGCACUAUCUUCCCCAUCUAACCUGAUUAUCACAUUUCUAUGGUCCCUCAUGAUGUUCAUACCAUCCCAUCUUGUUUUUCAUGCAUUGGUCGAUUCCUUAAUUAGAUACUUCCACGGCGAUCGUAACUCUAGUGCUGGCCUAUCAUUAAUUAGAUUUUCUUGUUUUUGCCUUCUUAAAAUCUCAGUAGUCUCCUCAAUUAUGGCCUGGGAUUUAAUAGCGAGUGGUUUAAUAACUGAGGUUUAAUAACGAGUGGUAUAAGAAUAAAUCAAUGGAUCCAUCAUUAGAUUCUACCACUUUGUGUUUGAUGCAGUAUGGCCCAAGUAAUUCUUGCACUACUAAAUCCUACAAAACAACAAAAAAAUCAGUGAUCAAAGAAUUAUGUUGAUGCAGCCUGGUAGAGAAAAUUGAUGUUUUAUAAUUAUAUGUAAUAAAAAG
This 610-nucleotide long non-coding RNA is filed under the name Androctonus crassicauda. The record is from RNAcentral. Lineage: Eukaryota; Metazoa; Arthropoda; Arachnida; Scorpiones; Buthidae.